RNAcentral lists this ribosomal RNA (464 nucleotides) under Streptococcus mitis. Its description in RNAcentral is "bacterial SSU rRNA". It matches the Rfam family "Bacterial small subunit ribosomal RNA", at positions 28 to 479 of the family's 1533-position model. Lineage: Bacteria; Bacillati; Bacillota; Bacilli; Lactobacillales; Streptococcaceae. The record is from RNAcentral.
GACGAACGCUGGCGGCGUGCCUAUACAUGCAAGUAGACGCUGAAGGAGGAGCUUGCUUCUCUGGAUGAGUUGCGAACGGGUGAGUACGCGUAGGUAACCUGCCUGGUAGCGGGGGAUAACUAUUGGAAACGAUAGCUAAUACCGCAUAAGAGUAGAUGUUGCAUGACAUUUGCUUAAAAGGUGCAAUUGCAUCACUACCAGAUGGACCUGCGUUGUAUUAGCUAGUUGGUGAGGUAACGGCUCACCAAGGCGACGAUACAUAGCCGACCUGAGAGGGUGAUCGGCCACACUGGGACUGAGACACGGCCCAGACUCCUACGGGAGGCAGCAGUAGGGAAUCUUCGGCAAUGGACGGAAGUCUGACCGAGCAACGCCGCGUGAGUGAAGAAGGUUUUCGGAUCGUAAAGCUCUGUUGUAAGAGAAGAACGAGUGUGAGAGUGGAAAGUUCACACUGUGACGGUAUC